RNAcentral lists this ribosomal RNA (271 nucleotides) under uncultured bacterium. Its description in RNAcentral is "partial 16S ribosomal RNA". It matches the Rfam family "Bacterial small subunit ribosomal RNA", at positions 524 to 794 of the family's 1533-position model. The record is from RNAcentral.
UACGUAGGGGGCGAGCGUUGUCCGGAAUCAUUGGGCGUAAAGCGCGUGUAGGCGGCCCGGUAAGUCGGCUGUGAAAGUCAAGGGCUCAACCCUUGAAAGCCGGCCGAUACUGUCGGGCUAGAGUCCGGAAGAGGCGAGUGGAAUUCCUGGUGUAGCGGUGAAAUGCGCAGAUAUCAGGAAGAACACCUAUGGCGAAGGCAGCACUCUGGGACGGUACUGACGCUGAGACGCGGAAGCGUGGGGAGCGAACAGGAUUAGAUACCCUAGUAGU